This 73-nucleotide transfer RNA is filed under the name Deltaproteobacteria bacterium. RNAcentral's name for it is "tRNA-Thr". It matches the Rfam family "tRNA". From Rfam's summary of the family: Transfer RNA (tRNA) molecules are approximately 80 nucleotides in length. Lineage: Bacteria; Pseudomonadati; Myxococcota; Myxococcia. The record is from RNAcentral.
GCCUGAAUCGUCUAAUAGGCUAAGACACCGCUUUGGUAGGGCGGAAAUCAGGGUUCGAUUCCCUGUUGAGGCU